AUACUUACCUGGUACGGGAGGCACCCUGAUCCGCUAGGUGGUCCCUCCCAGGGCGAGGCCUAACCAUUGCACCUCGGAUGGGCUGCCCCCUUGCGAUCGACCCAAAAUGUGGGCGAAUCGAGUACCGAAAUUUUGAUAGUGUGGGGUUCGGGCGUUCGCGCGAAACCCCC
Small nuclear RNA from Gigantopelta aegis, 170 nucleotides. RefSeq annotates it as U1 spliceosomal RNA. NCBI's taxonomy places the organism in Eukaryota, Metazoa, Mollusca, Gastropoda, Neomphalida, Peltospiridae. The transcript has a single exon. The record is from RefSeq and is a predicted model, not a curated record.